RNAcentral lists this ribosomal RNA (814 nucleotides) under uncultured Clostridia bacterium. RNAcentral's name for it is "bacterial SSU rRNA". It matches the Rfam family "Bacterial small subunit ribosomal RNA", at positions 71 to 900 of the family's 1533-position model. The record is from RNAcentral. Lineage: Bacteria; Bacillati; Bacillota; Clostridia.
GACAUUCAGCAAUGGAUGUUUAGCGGCGGACUGGUGAGUAACGCGUGGGCAACCUGCCUCAUACAGGGGGAUAACACAGGGAAACUUGUGCUAAUACCGCAUAAUAUCAUGAAAGGACAUCCUUUUAUGAUCAAAGGAGCAAUCCGGUGUGAGAUGGGCCCGCGUCCGAUUAGCUAGUUGGUGGUGUAACGGACCACCAAGGCGACGAUCGGUAGCCGAACUGAGAGGUUGAUCGGCCACAUUGGAACUGAGACACGGUCCAGACUCCUACGGGAGGCAGCAGUGGGGAAUAUUGCACAAUGGAGGAAACUCUGAUGCAGCAACGCCGCGUGAAGGAUGAAGGUUUUCGGAUUGUAAACUUCUUUGAUUGGGGACGAAACAAUGACGGUACCCAAAAAACAAGCCACGGCUAACUACGUGCCAGCAGCCGCGGUAAUACGUAGGUGGCGAGCGUUGUCCGGAAUUACUGGGUGUAAAGGGCGUGUAGGCGGGACUGUAAGUCAGAUGUGAAAUCCCGAGGCUUAACCUCGGAGCUGCAUCUGAAACUAUAGUUCUUGAGUGCUGGAGAGGAAAGCGGAAUUCCUAGUGUAGCGGUGAAAUGCGUAGAUAUCGGGAGGAACGCCGGUGGCGAAGGCGAGUCCCUGGAACACUCCUGACGCUGAGGCACGAAAGCUAGGGGAGCAAACAGGAUUAGAUACCCUGGUAGUCCUAGCCCUAAACGGUGCACGUUUGCCGUGGGCGGAUUCGACCCCGUCCGUGGCGUAGCUAACGCGUUAAACGUGCCGCCUGGGGAGUACGGCCGCANGGUUGAAAC